GGGGGCGUGGCUCAGUUGGGAGAGCGCUGCCUUCGCAAGGCAGAGGCCGGGGGUUCGAAUCCCCCCGUCUCCA
RNAcentral lists this transfer RNA (73 nucleotides) under Desulfonatronum zhilinae. RNAcentral describes it as "tRNA_Ala_CGC". It matches the Rfam family "tRNA". Rfam says of the family: Transfer RNA (tRNA) molecules are approximately 80 nucleotides in length. RNAcentral also lists the same sequence under 1 other name. Lineage: Bacteria; Pseudomonadati; Thermodesulfobacteriota; Desulfovibrionia; Desulfovibrionales; Desulfonatronaceae. The record is from RNAcentral.